This 366-nucleotide unclassified non-coding RNA is filed under the name uncultured fungus. Its description in RNAcentral is "partial contains small subunit ribosomal RNA, internal transcribed spacer 1, and 5.8S ribosomal RNA". The stretch from base 1 to 73 matches the Rfam family "Eukaryotic small subunit ribosomal RNA", at positions 1759 to 1831 of the family's 1831-position model. Lineage: Eukaryota; Fungi. The record is from RNAcentral.
GCAAACUUGGUCAUUUAGAGGAAGUAAAAGUCGUAACAAGGUUUCCGUAGGUGAACCUGCGGAAGGAUCAUUAUCGAUUCAACAAGAAAUGUUGAGAGGGAGGAGAUCAUCCCGGCCCAGUUGUAAUACACGCACGUGAAUUCGUGUGGCAGCUCAUGCAGCUCUGGCUUUGACGAUACCCGCUCCAUUUUUUACACACACCUGUGCACCUGUUGUAGGUCCCGCAAGGGAUCUAUGUCUUUCUCAUAUACCCCAUUGUAUGUUUAUAGAAUGUACCUUUGUUGCUUCUCGUCAGAGAACAAUAAUAAAACCUUUAUAACUUUCAGCAACGGAUCUCUUGGCUCUCGCAUCGAUGAAGAACGCAGC